AGCAGCCGCGGUAAUUCCAGCUCCAAUAGCGUAUAUUAAAGUUGUUGCAGUUAAAAAGCUCGUAGUUGAAUUUCGGGAUCAAUUAAUUGGUCGUGCCUCUGGUACGCACUGGUUUUAUUGGUUUCUCCCUUCUGACGAACCACGAUGUCAUUAAUUUGGUGUCGUGGAGAAUCAGGACUGUUACUUUGAAAAAAUUAGAGUGUUUAAAGCAGGCUAACGCUUGAAUACAUUAGCAUGGAAUAAUGAAAUAGGACGUUUGAUCCUAUUUUGUUGGUUUCUAGGAUCGACGUAAUGAUUAAUAGGGAUAGUUGGGGGCAUUAGUAUUCAAUUGUCAGAGGUGAAAUUCUUGGAUUUAUUGAAGACUAACUACUGCGAAAGCAUUUGCCAAGGAUGCUUUCAUUAAUCAAGAACGAAAGUUAGGGGAUCGAAGACGAUCAGAUACCGUCGUAGUCUUAACCAUAAACUAUGCCGACUAGGGAUCGGAUGAUGUUAAUUUUUAAUGAC
Molecule: ribosomal RNA, 504 nt
Filed under: uncultured Glomus
Lineage: Eukaryota; Fungi; Glomeromycota; Glomeromycetes; Glomerales; Glomeraceae
Description: SSU rRNA
Rfam family: Eukaryotic small subunit ribosomal RNA
Source: RNAcentral